This 18-nucleotide ribosomal RNA is filed under the name Trichothecium roseum. Its description in RNAcentral is "partial 28S ribosomal RNA". The record is from RNAcentral. Lineage: Eukaryota; Fungi; Ascomycota; Sordariomycetes; Hypocreales. RNAcentral also lists the same sequence under 2 other names.
GUGACCUCGGAUCAGUAG